ACGAACGCUGGCGGCGUGGAUUAGGCAUGCAAGUCGAGCGACGGCAUCCUUCGGGAUGUACGGAGCGGCGAACGGGUGAGUAACACGUGAACAACCUGUCCCUUUGUUCCGGAUAAUUGGGAGAAAUCCCUUGUAAUACGGGCGAGGACGGUCCUUUGGCAUCUUAGGAUCGGGAAACAUGAAAGUGGCAACACUUUUGUGGCAUGGGGAGGGUUCGGCGGACCUAUCAGGUAGUUGGUGUGGUAACGGCGACACCAAGCCAACGACCGGGUAGCUGGUCUGAGAGGAUGGUCAGCCACAUUGGAACUGAGACACUGUCCAGACUCCUACGGGAGGCUGCAGUCGAGAAUCUUGGGCAAGUGCACGAAAGUGUGACCCAGCGACGCCGCGUGAAGGAU
Molecule: ribosomal RNA, 398 nt
Filed under: uncultured bacterium
Lineage: Bacteria
Description: bacterial SSU rRNA
Rfam family: Bacterial small subunit ribosomal RNA
Source: RNAcentral